AUACGGAGGGUGCAAGCGUUACUCGGAAUCACGGGGCGUAAAGCGCGCGCAGGCGGGCUGAUAAGUUGGAUGUGAAAGCCUACGGCUCAACCGUAGAACUGCAUCCAAAACUGUCAGUCUAGAGUCUGGGAGGGGAAGAUGGAAUUAGUUGUGUAGGGGUAAAAUCCGUAGAGAUAAAUAGGAAUACCAAAAGCGAAGGCGAUCUUCUGGAACAGUACUGACGCUGAGGCGCGAAAGCGUGGGGAGCAAACAGGAUUAGAAACCCUAGUAGUCC
RNAcentral lists this ribosomal RNA (274 nucleotides) under uncultured bacterium. RNAcentral's name for it is "partial 16S ribosomal RNA". It matches the Rfam family "Bacterial small subunit ribosomal RNA", at positions 523 to 796 of the family's 1533-position model. The record is from RNAcentral.